AAGUCGUAACAAGGUUUCCGUAGGUGAACCUGCGGAAGGAUCAUUACAAUACUUUUACAAGUAUCAACCCCAAAUUGUUGAACUGAAUGAUGCGUCCGAUAGGAAGAAUGCAUAUUCAAAUGUGGUUGGAGAGACUGGCGGCUUUGAAAUGGCAACGUUUCGGUCAGUUCUCGAUUUUGCUGUUCGCAAGAGCAGUGAAAGCCCCAUUUUUCCUAGUUCGCGUAUUUUCUAUUUUUAUGACUUUAACCCUUUUCACCAAAUUACAAUUUAAACAAUCAUUGAACUGAAUUCGAAGGAUGCUGAAAAGUGUCUAUUUCGAUUCUAUUGUUUACGAAACGUAAGAACAACUCUUAACAACGGAUAUCUUGGCUCUC
Molecule: unclassified non-coding RNA, 374 nt
Filed under: fungal sp.
Lineage: Eukaryota; Fungi
Description: partial internal transcribed spacer region
Rfam family: Eukaryotic small subunit ribosomal RNA (bases 1-46)
Source: RNAcentral